GACCACAUGCGAAAUAAUUCAUACAGAGUAGAGAAAUAAUUUUGUAGCCAAGUCGUCUCGCGUUUUUUUCCCUGGGCCCCUGGCUUGAUCAGGUAGAACGUUUACGUAAAUGCGAGAGAAACUGGCAGUUUUGGUAUGAAAUUUCGUAUCUUAACUAAAACGUUCGGUUUGGGAACGUUUCUAAUUGUCUUUCUUUCAAAUAUCAUUUUGAAGACAUCACAAAAUUUAUAAUAAUGGUCAAAAAUGGCAAUAAUGGCAAUAAUGGCGAACAUGAUCAUUUUCCAAAAAAGCAUGCGGGCGGGGAUGAGAAACUAAUAUACAACAAAUAGUGGCCUUAU
This is a non-coding RNA of Paramuricea clavata, 338 nucleotides long. The record is from the annotation of a GenBank genome assembly. NCBI's taxonomy places the organism in Eukaryota, Metazoa, Cnidaria, Anthozoa, Malacalcyonacea, Plexauridae.